GUGAGGAGGAUGCCACUGGGCAGCUUCUCU
RNAcentral lists this non-coding RNA (30 nucleotides) under Actinoplanes sp. SE50/110. The record is from RNAcentral. Lineage: Bacteria; Bacillati; Actinomycetota; Actinomycetes; Micromonosporales; Micromonosporaceae.